AAACCGUAUAGAGGUUAAGCUCGUUGAAUCUAAAUAUCUAUCCGGUGGAAUUCAAUAUUACAGCCCGUAAAACAGGCUGCAGUGUGCACUUUCCACCGGCUACGACAUUGCAAUCCGUCGGAUUGGUUCAGGCUGCUUGCAGCCGCGGACCGCGCUUGUCUAUGGGGCCGCCUGCUCGAUCCUCGUGUUCGACCCAUCACUUGUGGUGUGUCGACCGGGGAAGCGGUGGUACUCGGCAAUGCAGAGCCAACGGAUUCAAUACGGACAGUAUGGCAUACACAUGCGAUCGGCUUGCCGAUUUAUACGCGUCCCAUUUGCAAUGCAUUAAAGAUUUAGAUACCUUCGAGACCCGUCUUGAAACACGGACCAAGGAGUCUAGCAUGUGUGCGAGUCAUUGGGCAGUUUCCCAACGCCCCUUCGUCGGUCUGCGGCGCAGCAAUGUGUCCGGCCGGCGUACGGGGUGGGAAAGUUUACUCAGUAAAACCCAAAGGCGCAAUUAACAUGACUGUUAUGGGAUUACAUGGGCCUCAGCCAAAAGCAUAUAGGCCCAUCUCCAUCCCGGGGCGAUUCAUCAGGUAACCUCGGUUAUCGAGUCGUACCUUGAGCACAUAUGGUA
This 616-nucleotide ribosomal RNA is filed under the name Psychomora mycophila. RNAcentral's name for it is "eukaryotic LSU rRNA". It matches the Rfam family "Eukaryotic large subunit ribosomal RNA", at positions 402 to 811 of the family's 3401-position model. The record is from RNAcentral. Lineage: Eukaryota; Metazoa; Arthropoda; Insecta; Diptera; Psychodidae.